This 439-nucleotide ribosomal RNA is filed under the name uncultured bacterium. RNAcentral describes it as "partial 16S ribosomal RNA". It matches the Rfam family "Bacterial small subunit ribosomal RNA", at positions 338 to 795 of the family's 1533-position model. The record is from RNAcentral.
CCUACGGGAGGCAGCAGUAGGGAAUAUUGCUCAAUGGGGGAAACACUGAAGCAGCACCGCCGCGUGGACGAUGAAGGUUUUCGGAUUGUAAACUCCUUUUGUUAGAGAAGAUAAUGACGGUAUCUAACGAAUAAGCACCGGCUAACUCCGUGCCAGCAGCCGCGGUAAUACGGAGGAUGCGAGCGUUAUCCGGAUUUAUUGGGUUUAAAGUGUGCGCAGGCGGGAGAUCAAGUCAGCGGUAAAAUGUCGGGGCUCAACCCCGGCCUGCCGUUGAAACUGGUUUUCUAGAGUUGGAGAGAAGUAGGCGGAAUUCGUGGUGUAGCGGUGAAAUGCAUAGAUAGCACGAAGAACUCCGAUUGCGAAGGCAGCAUACCGGCUCCAUACUGACGCUGAGGCACGAAAGCGUGGGGAUCGAACAGGAUUAGAUACCCCGGUAGUC